This 91-nucleotide microRNA precursor is filed under the name Otolemur garnettii (small-eared galago). RNAcentral's name for it is "miRNA (ENSOGAG00000017527.1)". Lineage: Eukaryota; Metazoa; Chordata; Mammalia; Primates; Galagidae. The record is from RNAcentral.
AGAAAAGCUGGCCAAGACCUGGUCCCAGCAGAUUGAGAAGAGCACCUCAGUGGUCACCUCACAGUUUGCUGAGGUCGGAGCUGCUAAAUCA